RNAcentral lists this ribosomal RNA (478 nucleotides) under uncultured bacterium. Its description in RNAcentral is "partial 16S ribosomal RNA". It matches the Rfam family "Bacterial small subunit ribosomal RNA", at positions 28 to 523 of the family's 1533-position model. The record is from RNAcentral.
GACGAACGCUGGCGGCGUGCUUAACACAUGCAAGUCGAACGGUAAGGCCCUUCGGGGUACACGAGUGGCGAACGGGUGAGUAACACGUGGGUGAUCUGCCCUGCACUUCGGGAUAAGCCUGGGAAACUGGGUCUAAUACCGGAUAGGACUCCUGGCUUCAUGGUUGGGGGUGGAAAGCGUUUGCGGUGUGGGAUGGGCCCGCGGCCUAUCAGCUUGUUGAUGGGGUGAUGGCCUACCAAGGCGACGACGGGUAGCCGGCCUGAGAGGGUGACCGGUCACACUGGGACUGAGAUACGGCCCAGACUCCUACGGGAGGCAGCAGUGGGGAAUAUUGCACAAUGGGCGCAAGCCUGAUGCAGCGACGCCGCGUGAGGGAUGACGGCCUUCGGGUUGUAAACCUCUUUCAGCUAUGACGAAGCGCAAGUGACGGUAGUAGCAGAAGAAGGACCGGCCAACUACGUGCCAGCAGCCGCAGUAA